RNAcentral lists this ribosomal RNA (253 nucleotides) under uncultured bacterium. RNAcentral's name for it is "partial 16S ribosomal RNA". It matches the Rfam family "Bacterial small subunit ribosomal RNA", at positions 524 to 776 of the family's 1533-position model. The record is from RNAcentral.
UACAGAGGGGGCAAGCGUUGUUCGGAAUUACUGGGCGUAAAGGGCGCGUAGGCGGCCUGCUAAGUCGAACGUGAAAUCCCUGGGCUCAACCCAGGAACUGCGUCCGAUACUGGAUGGCUUGAGUUUGGGAGAGGGAUGCGGAAUUCCAGGUGUAGCGGUGAAAUGCGUAGAUAUCUGGAGGAACACCGGUGGCGAAGGCGGCAUCCUGGACCAACACUGACACUGAGGAGCGAAAGCCAGGGGAGCAAACGGG